GCGGCGGUGCUGAAACUGGUAAACAGGGCGCCCUCAAAAGGCGCUGUCCGAAAGGGCUUGUGGGUUCGAUCCCCACCCGCCGUA
RNAcentral lists this transfer RNA (84 nucleotides) under Solirubrobacterales bacterium. RNAcentral describes it as "tRNA-Leu". It matches the Rfam family "tRNA". Rfam says of the family: Transfer RNA (tRNA) molecules are approximately 80 nucleotides in length. Their secondary structure includes four short double-helical elements and three loops (D, anti-codon, and T loops). Lineage: Bacteria; Bacillati; Actinomycetota; Thermoleophilia; Solirubrobacterales. RNAcentral also lists the same sequence under 1 other name. The record is from RNAcentral.